AACUUUUGGCAACGGAUCACUUGGCUCUCGCAUCGAUGAAGGACGCAGCGAAAUGCGAUACGUAAUGUGAAUUGCAGAAUUCAGUGAAUCAUCGAAUCUUUGAACGCAGAUUGCGCUCUUUGGUAUUCCGAAGAGCAUGCUUGUUUGAGUAUCAGUAAACACCUCAACCUCCUUUUCUUUUUUCAAAAGGAGGGUGGACUUGAGCCAUCCCAACAACCUUCACCGGUAGGCGGGCGGCUUGAAAUGCAGGUGCAGCUGGACUUUUAUCUGAGCUAAAAGCAUAUCUAUUUAGUCCUCGUCAAACAGGAUUAUUACUAUUGCUGCAGCUAACAUAAAGGAUAAUUGUCCUCAUUGCUGACUGAUGCAGGAUUUUACGACACUUUAUGUGUUGUUCAACUCGAUCUCAAAUCAAGUAAGACUACCCGCUGAACUUAAGCAUAUCAAUAAGCGGAGGCU
This 456-nucleotide unclassified non-coding RNA is filed under the name uncultured Mortierella. Its description in RNAcentral is "sequence contains ITS2". The stretch from base 1 to 154 matches the Rfam family "5.8S ribosomal RNA". Lineage: Eukaryota; Fungi; Mortierellomycota; Mortierellomycetes; Mortierellales; Mortierellaceae. The record is from RNAcentral.